This 2888-nucleotide ribosomal RNA is filed under the name Shewanella putrefaciens. RNAcentral's name for it is "23S ribosomal RNA". Lineage: Bacteria; Pseudomonadati; Pseudomonadota; Gammaproteobacteria; Alteromonadales; Shewanellaceae. The record is from RNAcentral.
CGCCAUGAUGACCCUCAAUCGUUAUCGUUUAAGACACCUCGCCUCCAAUGGCCAUAAAGGCGCUAUACGGGCAUUAAAAUUGUUAGAACGACCAGAUCGACUUAUCGGCCUUAUCCUGAUCGGCAAUAACUUAGUCAAUAUAUUAGCUUCUGCUAUUGCGACUAUCAUAGGAAUGCGACUUUGGGGAGAUUUAGGUGUUGCCAUUGCAACAGGGGUGCUCACCUUAGUCGUGUUAGUCUUUGCCGAAGUUACGCCUAAAACUAUCGCCGCCUUGAAUCCUGAGCGGAUUGCCUUCCCAUCCAGUGUACUCUUACGUUGGUUGUUAGUCUUAUUAGCACCAUUGGUAAAGGGAGUUAAUUUAAUCACCUCCGGAUUUCUACGUUUAAUGGGCAUUAAAACCGUUAAUAGCAGCGAUGCCUUAAGCCAAGAAGAAUUACGUACUGUCGUACAUGAGGCCGGAGCACUUAUCCCCCAACGUCACCAAGAAAUGUUGUUAUCUAUUUUGGACUUAGAGAAAGUCACCGUUGAAGAUAUUAUGGUGCCACGCUCUGAUCUCUAUGCGAUCAAUGUGAAUGAUGAGUUUAAGGUUAUCAAUCGCCAAGUUAUCCAAAGUCCCCAUACUCGAGUAUUGGUGUACCGCGAUACGAUUGACGAUGCGGUGGGUUUUAUCCAUUUACGCGAUGCAUUACGCCUACAAUCAAAAAAACAAUUUAGUAAAUCAUCACUGCUCCGCGCAGUAAAAGAGCUUUAUUUUAUUCCAGAAGGAACACCGCUUAAUGUCCAACUAGCUAAUUUUCAACAAAAUAAAGAACGGAUUGGUUUGGUGGUUGACGAAUAUGGCGAUAUUCAAGGCUUAGUAACGCUGGAAGAUAUCCUAGAAGAAAUUGUAGGCGAUUUCACCACUUCGAUGGUUACAGCACCAAGUGAAGAUAUUACUGUGCAGCAGGAUGGCAGCUAUUUAGUGGAUGCUAGCAUUACAAUUCGUGAUUUAAAUAAAGAAAUGAAGUGGGAUUUUCCAACAGAUGGGCCUAAGACACUUAAUGGGCUAAUUUUAGAAUACCUAGAAGAUAUUCCUUCAGAAAACACUAGCUUACGCCUCGCAGGCUAUCCGAUAGAAGUCAUAGAAGUUGCCGAUAACAUGGUAAAAACAGUGCGCGUUAUUCCUCUACAUUACCAUCCACCUCGUUAGCUUAGCUUUCAUCAAUUAAACAAAAUCGGCUUAAUGGUUUAGCCGAUUUUGUGCACCACGAAAUUUAUUUGCUUUUUUGCGCCUCAAGCAUACGACGCUUUUCAAUUGCGACUGCCGUGAUUUGCUCAUUAAGUGACUUUUCUAGUCCAAGCAUAAAGUAGACUUCUGCCAUUAAAAAAACGGCCCAAUUAAUAACUGAUUUAAGUCAUCCACAAAUGCAGGCUUAGCUUUUUCAUAUCGAUGACCAAUUAAUUGAAAUAUCCAUCCGACAAUAAAGAGGGCUAAGGCUAACCAAACGGCAUAGGAAAAAUGAGCAACAAGCUCAGUAGUAUAAAGCACUGGGAUCAAAAAAAGAGUCAAGCCUAGUGCCAACUUAACAUGUAGACGCACAUAAUAAACCAGCACGAGUCCCCCUAAAACGAGACCUAAACUGAUGUCACCCAAACUCCCCAAUGGUAUGCGGAUUGUCGCCAAUAAUAAAAAAGCAGACCAAAUAAUCAGUGGGAUACCCACAAAAUGGGUCUGAAUAUUACGAUGAUUUAGAUGCACACUUUUGUAGGUUGAUAACUGCUCUGCGGCGGAUUUCAUCUUGGGCUCCUUUUGCUCUGUCCCUAUACGUUUCUGGUUCCUAUAAAUUUGCGCCAUACAUGACGCCUAGACCAUAAACUAGCCCAAAAAUAAUCGACUGAACAGCAUAAGUAACAAAAAUAUUACAAUCAAACACAAAGCAGUAAAAAGGGAGCAUAAAGCUCCCUGCAUCAUCAAACAUAAGAUAUCAGCACGAUUCGAGGAUCACAGUCGCAAUGGCAUAGGACUUUUCAUCCGCGAUCGAAAUAUGUCCAAAAACACCAUUGAGGAAAGCCAAACGCUGCUGCGCUCCAUCGGUAAAGCGAAUAGUGGGCGCACCAUCUGGCGUAUUACCAAUAUGAAUGUGUUGAAAAGACACUCCACGGCCAAUACCGGUCCCUAACGCUUUAGCGGCUGCUUCUUUUGCCGCAAAUCGUUUAGCAAGAUAGCGAUUCGGCUGACUAUGGGCGAUAUAAAUCGCCAAUUCAGCCUCAGUCAGCACGCGUCUAGCCAGCUUGUCGCCAGAACGCGCAACAUGAGCCUCAAUACGCUCAAUCUCGACAAUAUCAGUGCCUAGGCCGACUAUCGCCAUUAUUCGCCUCGGCGACCUUCAAGCAUUAACGCUUUCAUGUCUUUCACUGCCGUAGCUAAACCGUCAAUGGCAGCACGUGCGACAAUCGCAUGACCGAUAUUGAGCUCAUAUAACUCAGGAAUCGCCGCAAUCGGUUUCACGUUGUGAUAAUGCAAACCAUGGCCGGCAUUCACCACUAAGCCUUUGCCAUGGGCGUAUUUAGCCAUUUCGCUGAUACGCGCUAACUCAAUAGCUUCUUCCGCUUCAGUUUUAGCAUCGGCAUAACAGCCCGUAUGAAUUUCAAUAAGCGGUGCACCAGAAGCAACAGCGGCAUCAAUUUGGGUUUUAUCGGCAUCGAUAAAUAAGGAGACUUGAAUACCCUCAGCAGUUAAACGAGUCACUGCAGCAGUGAUUUUAUCUAACUGCCCCGCCACAUCUAAACCACCCUCAGUGGUGACUUCUUGGCGUUUUUCUGGCACUAAACAGACAUAAGUCGGCUUAAUUUCACAGGCGAUGUUAAGCAUUUCUUCGGUCACCGCACAUUCAAAAUUCAUGCGGGUU